UCCUUCCCUCCCUCCCGCACCCACCCACCCCGGGCUCAGGGCACCGGGGCAGCCACUGUGUUUCGCACCUGGCAGCCGCCGCCCCGAAGUGAACGAGUACAACUAGGAUCCAUUUAAGGCAAAUUUAAUGGAACCUUUUCUUUGGCCUGCAGCAGCUUUCCAGCUCAGGAUGUUGAGAAGCAGAACCUGCAGCACAGCUACAGUGACCCUGGGAACCAGCAUGGACCCCUGCAGCAGACACAUGCAUGCAAUCACACCCCGCUUUAGAUUGUCACGGCUUUCCUCAUGCACACCAGGCCUCUGCCAGCUCCUGGGAGGAAAGUUGGGAAGGUAUUAAGUAGCUAAGUACCUCGCUGGCAAAUUAAUAGUUUUUUCUUUCUAUUAAUUCAACUUUGCUUUUAUUGUGGACUGUGGAGAAUAUGCAGGCUGAUACAGCUGUUACAGCACAACCUCCUAGGGUGGAAAAACAUCUUUUUGUCACCAGGCCCUAUUCUGGCUAUACAAACUAAAUAAAGAAAAAAGUAUUUGCUGGAAGAACUGCACCUCCACUAGGAUUUUUGCCAAUACAGAAAUGUGUUUCAUUCUGUCUUCCCUCCCCAUCCCUCAAUUUCCCACCUGCCAUUUACAUUUCUGGCUGACAGAACUACAGGACAAAGAUCUGUAGUCUUGGCCUAAUGCAAGAGGAUGACCACUGGGUUUUGUUUUUCAAACCCUUACAGAGCACUUCUGAGCACACUGGGAGCAGCCAAGGCUGCCAUAGGCUAUGGGGAGAACUGAGAGAGGUUUUGUGAACCUCUCUAUGGGCCUGGAGGUUAGGCACUGAGCCUGAACCCACUCCAACCCCUCCAGUGAAAAGGGUGUCUUCUGCCUGGAAAACCACAGGAUGAUAGAUGUGGGUCCAACAAGGAUAAGAAAUGCAAAAAACCCUGGAGUGCAAGAGGAAGUGUAUCCUGUCUGCAUGGAGACAUAACCUCAACAGGAACAAGUGCAGGAAGAGUUCGGGAGCACUUUACUGCUAUUAUUGGAUUUGAACAGUCCCAUCUGGAUAACAUACGACUGAUUUGUUUGCAUGGCUUAUUUUAGGUAUUUCAGCAUGUACAUUAGAGUUGCCUUCGUAUUUGGCUGAUUCCCUGCACAGUCUGUAAGAGCAAGAAAAGAUCUUCAGCUCCUGCUCUCCACCACUCCAUUCUCCCAUCCCAAUGCCUUGGAGAGCUCUUCACAGAAGUCCAAGGAUAAACAGAACCAUCAGUCCUUCCCAACUCAGUACUGCAGAGUGUACAACAGCAGUACCAAAGUACUAACAACAUGGGGGUUGGAUACUAUCUAGAACAUUUGGAUUUGCACCUGUAUUAAUUUAGGCUUGAGACUCCACGUAUCCCGUAACAACUCUAGAUGCACUUGAAAGUCUAGCAGCAAGGACUUGGCACAUACCUGGUGCUAAUGUACAUGCUCUGUGGUUAGAAUAGCUGCUACUUGAAGCUUUUAACCAAAGGGAUCUGCGGCAGGAAUGUGCUCCCAGCACGCACAGAACCAGGGAAAGCGUGACGGAUGCUCACACCUCUCCAGACUUGGCAUUCCUUGCAACACCGUCUCAGUUACAGUGACGCUGGCAAGCUCUUACCGCAGCUCCCAUUCACCGUGGCGUCUGAAUGAGCAGCCAGCUCCAUCAACAGCAAGAACUUUGUUGUCCCCUUGCAGGAGCUCUUGAAUGCAAAGCUGGGCAUUUGCUACUUCACUCUGCCAGGGCCAGGAGAAAUAAGACAUCACUGAAAAUAAUUCAGCCCAUGCUUAAAAGAUAUUAUAUAAAAAAUGAGAUUUUUUUUUUAAAUGAGUAAAAGCACAAUGCAAAAACUCUGGUUUACAUGACUUGAACAGUUUUCACUUAGGAAUUCACAGCAAUUUGUCACUAGCUUGCAGUGCAGGGAGGGAAUGUUCCUUUCACGCUGAAUCACCAUAAAACAAGCACAAGUUGCCUGAUU
Pipra filicauda (Wire-tailed manakin) is the source of this 1979-nucleotide long non-coding RNA. RefSeq lists it as uncharacterized. The record is from RefSeq and is a predicted model, not a curated record. Lineage: Eukaryota; Metazoa; Chordata; Aves; Passeriformes; Pipridae. The transcript is spliced from 3 exons.